Molecule: long non-coding RNA, 988 nt
Organism: Mauremys mutica (yellowpond turtle)
Lineage: Eukaryota; Metazoa; Chordata; Testudines; Geoemydidae
Exons: 3
Source: RefSeq, a predicted model, not a curated record
AAUCCAAUGGUUGGAAGCUGAAGCUAGAGAAAUUCGGACUGGAAAUAAGGUGUAAUUUUUUCACAGCCAGAGUAAAUAACCAGUGGGACAAUUAACCAAAGAUUGGGGUGGAUUUUCCAUCACUGACCAUUUUUGCAUCACGACUGGCAGUUGUUCUGAAAGCUCUGCUCAAGGGGUUAUUUGGGGGCAGGUCUCUGGCCUGUGUUAUGCCAGGGGUCAGACUGGAUUAUUAGAGUGGUGCCUUCUCAAGUUAGACUAUGAACCCCACCGAUAACUGUACCCCCAUUACAAUCUUACCUUUGCCGGGAAUCUGUCACUGGCCAGGUGUUCUUGGCAAAAUCAAUUGCUAAGGAUACUCGGAAGUGAAAAUCACCCCAUGUUAACCUUGGCCAUUGUACUUUUAUGUUUGGGACAAUUCCAGGCAGAGCAGCAUGAGAAGUUCGUGCUGAAUUCAGCAGCAUUUGUUUCCUCGAGUGGCUCGUUGUGGGACCGGUCACAUCUGUUCUCUGUAGACCUGGGGAGGGCAGAGGCAGGAGCUGGUGUCUAUAAAAACCUGCCCAGGGAGUUCAGUCCCCAGCUGGUAUUUGGUUGGAGCGAUGGAAGCAGCUGGGUUUGGCCAAGAUGGGACCAGGCGAGGCUGGAUCAUGGGGCAUCUCUGCUCCCUGCUGGUCACUGCACUGCUGGCGACAAGCCUGGUGCAGGGUCAGUCAGAACCAAGCAGUGGCAGAAUGAAGACAGGAUGAGUUAAAGUUCUACCAAGAUGGUUCGUAUUAGCAGGGUUCCGGAGUCCCAGGCUGGCAGGGAAAACAGGCUCAGAGGCAGUCUCAGCACAUCAGGUGGCAGGCCCAAGGGGGUCUCUGUGACACAAUCUGUCACACAAACCACACCUAUUGGUGGAGUUUGCAUCUGUCUAUUCACACAUGCCGGCUCCAGACCAACAGGACGCAAUCUCAGAGGCAGCCAGCAGAUGGCACCCAGCAGCAUCAAA